RNAcentral lists this ribosomal RNA (671 nucleotides) under uncultured bacterium. RNAcentral describes it as "bacterial SSU rRNA". It matches the Rfam family "Bacterial small subunit ribosomal RNA", at positions 37 to 727 of the family's 1533-position model. The record is from RNAcentral.
UAGCGGUGUGCCUAAUGCAUGCAAGUCGAACGGGAUCCUUAGAUUCGUCUGAGGUGAGAGUGGCGAACGGGUGAGUAACACGUUGGUGACCUACCCCAAAGAGAGGGAUAACUAUUGGAAACGAUGGCUAAUACCUCGGAUGUAUUACUAUUUAGAAAGGUAAUACUAAAGCUCCGGCGCUUUGGGAGGGGCCUGCGGUCCAUCAGCUAGUUGGUAAGGUAAUGGCUUACCAAGGCAAAGACGGAUAGGGGGCGUGAGAGCGUGACCCCCCACACUGGUACUGAGACACGGACCAGAUACCUGCGGGUAGCAGCAGCAAGGAAUAUUGCGCAAUCGACGAAAGUCGGACGCAGCAACACCGCGUGAAGGAUGAAGGCCUUCGGGUCGUAAACUUCUUUUCUGGGGGAAGAGAAAGGACGGUACCCCAGGAAUAAGUCUCGGCUAACUACGUGCCAGCAGCCGCGGUAAAACGUAGGAGGCGAGCGUUAUCCGGAUUUAUUGGGCGUAAAGCGCAUGCAGGCGGUUUACAAAGUCGGACGUGAAAGCUCUUGGCUCAACUGAGAGAGGCCGUUCGAAACUGGUAGACUUGAGGAUGGUAGAGGUGAGUGGAAUUCCAGGUGUAGUGGUGAAAUGCGUAGAUAUCUGGAGGAACACCAGUGGCGAAGCGGCUC